AGAGGCCCUCUGUGGCCCAGGUGGAACACUUGCCUUGUCGCCGUGGUGACAAAGCAAACAUUCCGCCAGGCCGCUCAUGCUGCCCGC
Myotis lucifugus (little brown bat) is the source of this 87-nucleotide non-coding RNA. The record is from Rfam. NCBI's taxonomy places the organism in Eukaryota, Metazoa, Chordata, Mammalia, Chiroptera, Vespertilionidae.